UUAUUGUCAUUUCAGAUUUCAAAUUUCCUCUGUCUUCUCCAAGUUCUUGCAUUUCUUUGUUCCCCGAGCACAUUGCUACCUUUGCCUUCCUGUCUUUAUUCUCCAGGUACGCCUCUUCUUUUGCCAUGGAUAGUUCUAGCCUCCUCGAUGUCAUCAACCUAGAGUCUAGCAUCACUCCGUCCAACAUUAGGAGUUUCAUCUCCAGGGAAUACCUGGAUACCACUUUUUUUCACAUCCGGGCUCCUUACCGGAAUGAGAGGAUCGUUCUUCCUUACCCUUCUCCCCCUGGCCUAGUCGACCCCCAAAGAGACGUUAGUCUAGUAUUUUUCAUCAAGCAGAGGGAAUAUGGUUUGUCUUUCCCCUUUUCUCCGUUCUUCAACGAGGUCUUCCGGUAUUUCGAGAUCACCCCUCGAAUGCUAACCCCUAACUCUAUUCUCUUCAUGUCUUCCUUCGAGUCUGUGUGUUUGAGCUGGGGUUUCACUCCCACAGUUCACCUGUUCGUAAGCUUCUUCAGGCUGGUCAAGGCGAGCCAAAAAUUUUAUUACUUUGCCCCUCGCGGAGGGUUGUCCAUUUUCACGGGUUAUAAAGACUCUAUCAAAGGCUGGAUAGAGGGGUUUCUGGUGGUAGAAUUAAAGAAGCAAACGGGGUUGGCUUGGGAGCUCUAUCUCCCCUGGGAGGAUGUCUCUCUGGGUUGCAACGACCUGCCCCAGCUGAGCCUUACUGACCAGGUCGGAUUUCUUCGACUGACUUCUGUGGAGAAGAAGUAUGACGUCGAAAAGUGCUUGUUCGCGUCCAAUCUUCGGGAUAUUAAGGACGCGGGUAUCCUAUCCCAUUUACCUGCUUUAGUUUUUGCUUACGUGAUCUUUGCUGAGAACUGUUCUGACUUGCUCUGAUUUUUAAUUUUGCAGCCUCCGAGGUGAAGAUGGAUCAGAUCAAGCCUCCUAAAAAUCUCAUACUGUCCCGGGAGAGCAUGGACGCAGCUCUGGACGCCCUCCUGGCUGGGCAAUCAGUGGGAGAGGCUACUUAAAGGGUGGCCGAAGUUAUCUCUUCCAGGUCGGCUAUCCGACCUCCUCCUCCUCCGGUCUCCUCACAAGCUCCUAGGCCAAGCUCCCGACGUAGUAGGUCGUCUCGACCCUCCCGCCGCAGCAGAUCGAGCUCGGCUCAUCAGUCCUCUCAAGCCCCCUGGACUCGACGUGCCUCUAACGAGGGGACGGAAGAAGCUCCCAGGAUCAUUUCCGAGCUGGCAGAAGACACUAGGCCGACGAGGUCGGAUCUUGCCUUUCCUUCUGAGGAAGCUCCAGAAGUGAGGCUUGAGGCCCCCUUCCCUGAAGAAGAGGUUCCCGAGGUGAGGCUGGAAGUCUCCGUUAUUGAAGAGAGGGCUCUGAAAGGAAGAGUGGAGGUCGUCCUUGUGGACGAGGAUGAUCAAGAAGUUGCUACUAAGGACCCUCCUGUAAUACCCGGCUAGAGUCCGGUAUCGGAAUUCUACUUUCCGAUGGAAUCCAGGAUGUCGAAACUCUCUCGAAGGGUAAUAGUUAUGUUUUUCUAAAGUAUUUUAAUAUGUUUUAAUGGUUUUAAGUGUAAAGGAAAUGAGUUUGUGAAAGAAAAGCACCAAGGAAGGAAAGUCAGGUUCGGCCGCCGAACAUGCAUGGCUUUUGGUUUCACGUUUGGCCGCCGAAAGUGGUCUGGCCAGCCACCUAUAAAAGGCCCUAGGUCGGUGAAAUGGAUAAGUUUCUUUCAUUUCCACGGACAGAGGUGAGACCAUGCUCUUCCUUGGGUGAUCUUCAUGAUUUUUACAAAUCUUUCAAAGUUUUGAUGAAUUUGUAUGUUGUUUUGAAGGUUUUGAGCUAAAAAACCAAGGUUUUGAAGUUUGGAGACUUUGUGAGAGAGUUGCUCCAUAUCUCCAUGUUAGGAUCACAUAUCCUAUCUUCAAGAGGUAAGUGUAGAUCCUUAGCUUCUUUUUGUAACGACCCGAAAACCGAUACCCCUCUGUAACGGUCCGAACCGCCACCGGCGCUAGGAUCCAGAUCGGCUUAAAGCCGCCGGGACCCGUAGCAAGCCAAACAUACCUCCUAUCACCUGGUCAAAUCCCAUACAUGAUCAAAACUUUAACAUGAAAACUCAAACAUCUGAUGUACAAACCGAACCUGACCUGUAUGCGACAUAACUGAAAACAUAAAAGGACCCCCCUACUAGAGCCCUCAUCAAAACUCUAGCUGGGUCUACAUAACAUAUAUCAAGCCGGAGUCACAUCCAAAGAACCAAACCUACCCUGUGCAUGCAUCAAUCCACAACACAAGACCUCCACUAGGGUCCUCAUCCAAUACCAUAGCUUGGUACACAACACAUGCCACAAGUUUAGUUCAAACACAACUCAAUAUCUAAAACAUUACAUACAUCAUGUAUUAAACAGGGACUAACCAAGUCUUAGGGCCAAGCACAGUACUAAACCAUAAACAUAUCUUCACUUAACUUUACAUUACAUUCUCUUACAAAUCAUUUCCAAUAUACAUUACAUGUCCACACUAAAAUGCUAAUCUAUUACUAUUACAAAAGCAAAACCUUUACUCUUGAGACUUCCCGAUCAACCUCAAACCUGCAACACUGGGGUUAGGGGAGAGGGGUGAGCUAAAAAGCCCAGUGAGUAGAAACAAAGAAAACAGUUCAUUAAUUACAUGCUUUCAUGAAAAUGCGUCACAGCACAAACAAAUCAUAUCACGGAUUGGACCUAACCCCAAAACAUCCCUUCCAGUCUCAGUAUGCCCGGCCCGGCCGGGUCUCACAACCUUCGUAUGCCUGGCCUGGCCAGGUCUUACAACAACUGUAUAUGUAUGCCUGGCCCGGCCAGGUCUCACAACAUCUCUAGGGCUAGUGGGGUCGUCCUUGGUCCAAUCUCCAUCAACAGUAAAUAAUGCAAUGCUUCAUAUUCGUGUAACUAGUGCAAUCAACCUAUUACAUAUAAACAUGAUGCAUGAGCAUGUUUUAGGCAUUUGAUUUCAUAAAAUAAAGAUUAAGUUUAGUUCUACUCACCUCUGGCAGACGCUGGACUGACGCUGCAACAGCUAACACUGAUGGCCUCCUCGAUCCCUCGGGUCCGAUCCUACACAGAUGGACUCGAAUGAGGUGCCAAACACACUCUAACAACUCAUAAAUAACUACCCAAAAACCCCCUAAAACAUCACCAAAGCAUGCAUAGAAAAUAACCAUGAAAAAGCUGGACAGGGCACUUUCGGCGGCACCUUCGGCGGCCGAACCCUCUCUCCAGAGACGAAACUCGGGCACUUUCGGCGGCACCUUCGGCGGCCGAAAGUCCCACUCCAGAGACGAAAGUCAGGCACUUUCGGCGGCCGAAUCCUUCCUUCGGCGGCCGAAAGUCUGCUUUCAAGCCAAAACUCAACUUUCGGGGGCAAGGUUAGGCGGCCACACCAUGCAUCCAAAGGCAGGUUCGGCGGCCGAAACCACCUUCGGCGGCCGAACCUGAGUUCUUCCCAGAAGGGCAGAACUUAGCUUCUCAUGCAUUCAAGCCUCCCAAACCUUCCAACACCCCAAAACAAGCACCCAGCUUAACCAAAACAAGCAUAAACCUUUAACCAUGCACAAAGGAGCUUAACAACUUGAUUAAACUCCGAAAACAACAUCAAAAACAUACAUGGAUAGCUUAUGACCCACAUAGGCCAAAACCAUCAAAACAACCCAAAUCCUCACAUACUCUCUCCCCAUCAUGCAUACUCACUCCCACAUGCAUAGACUAGCUUAAACUUCACCAAAACAUCACAUAAACACUCAUAAACAUACAUAAGCACACAUUGGGCAUAAAACCCACAUAAAUCCUAACAUGCAUAUCUACCCACACUCUACCAUCAAAACCUUCAUAAAACUUCAAAAGACACUAGGAAAGCAAAGAUCUACACUUACCUCUUGAAGAUCGAGGGUUGCGUGAUCUCUAACUCGGAGGUGUGGAGAAUCCAAGCUCCAAAAGCUCCAAGCUCCCAAAACUUGAUCUAAGCUUGAAAACUCUUCAAAAUAACCAUGGAACUCAUGAAAACAUGAAGGAGAUGAAGAAAAACAUGAAAACGGCCAAGGGAGGACAAAAACUCACCUGAGCUCGAGAAUGGGGAGAAAACUCGCCCAUUUCCGAUCGGAGGGCUCUUUAUAGGUAGCCUGGUCAAAGACCUUCAGCAGCCUAACGUGCCCCCUAAACUCAUGCAUGUUCGGCGGCUGAACUUGACUUUCGGCGGCCGAACCUUGGCUCGUUCAAACAAGACUUUCGGAGGCCAAAAGCGCUCCCGAAGCCUUUCCAUGUUCGGCGGCCGAACUUCACUUUCGGCGGCCGAACCUGGCAAACGCCUCCUUGGUCUUUUCUUUUUAAAACUCAAUUCUUUUUCCAUUUAAAACCAUGAAAUCAGUAAAAACCUUUUAGAAAACACAUUUUACCCCUCUAGAAGCCUCUGGCAUCUUCAGAAUUCUAGAUUCCAACGGAGAUUCCGCCGGAAGGUAAGGAUUCCGAUGCCGAAAUCUAGCCGGGUAUUACACUUUUCAUGUUUUAUAAAGGUUUUAUGGAGUUUUUGGGUAAAGAUGCAUGUUUAGGGUAAGUUGAGGUUUUGGUUGAUUUGUGGUCAAAGCAUGCUUAUGUGUUUAGUUGUGAUGUUUGUUGGGGUUUUAAGGUAGUUUUGGACCCCUUUGUGCAUAUGCUUGAGUAUAUGUGUGUUGUAGAGCUGAGGUUUGCAUGUUUGAGAAGUUUGGAGGAAGAUUGCAUGAAGUUGAGCAGUUUCGGCCGCCGAAAGAGGGUUCGGCCGUCGAACAUGCUAAGGAGGUGGUUUCGGCUGCCUAAGCUUGCCCAAGCUUGCCCCUCGAAAGUUUGGACUUUCGGCUCUGGAGGGGAGUUUCGGCCGCCGAAAGUGCCGCCGAACAUGCAUGAGUUUCGGCUCUGGAAGGGACUUUCGGCCGCUGAACCUGCCGCCGAAAGUGCCCUGUCCAGCCUUCCUUUGCAUGUUUUUCUUGAUUGUUUUAGGAUAUUUUAGGGAGUUUUUGGGGAGUAUUUUAGAAAUAUUCUUGAGUUUGUUUGGUCCCUCAUUUGAGUCCACCUGUGUAGGAACGGACCAGAGGAACCAAAGAGAUCAGUAGUGAGCACUGCUUCAGAGUUUCCAGAGUCAAUUCAGAGUCAGCCAGAGGUGAGUGGAACUAAACUGAAUCUUUUAGUAAGCAAAUACUUUUUCGCAUGUUUCAUGCACCAUGAUUAUGCAAUAGGUUGAUUGCAUUAGAAUUCAUGAAGAUGUUGCAUUGCAUUUUCUGUUGUUGAUGUGGAUGGAAUGUGAGUGAUCCAUUAGUCUCUGAGAAAGACCAGGUGCCCAUUCUACGCCCUGUCACUAGUUAUGAGGAAGUCCAGGUGCCCAUUCUACGCCCUGGCACGAGUUAUCAGGUAAGACAGGAAGACCAGGUGCCCAUUCUACGCCCUGGCACGAGGAUAGGAUGUCGGGACUAUUGGUGACACAUUCAUCCUUGCUGUGAAUUGUCUGUGAUAUGAUGCAUUUCAUUUGAGCAUAUUUUACUGUUCUACUCACUGGGCUAGUAUAGCUCACCCCUCUCCCUUAACCCCAGUUUUGCAGGAUCAGAGUACAGGGGGAGUCAGAAGAGUACAGAAAGAGUAAAGAGUUUUGUAAUAGCAUAGUGUGGACAUGUAUUAUUGUGAAGAGAUGUAAUAGUAUUGUAUAGAGUUCAGUAUUGUGCUUGACCUAGAUGUGUUGUAAAUCCUUUUUGUAUACAUGAUCUGUUUAUUGUAUGUAAAUGUUUUUAUGAGAAUGAAAACCAGGCUUACCAGAGUAUGAGUUUAACCCGUCUGGAGCAAGCUCUAGUAAGGGGUUCUGUAGUCCAGAGAUAGUGCAUGCACAGGUAGAGCCGUGGUUCAGAGCAAAGUUUUAUACUUUUACAGCAAAUGUAUGAUCAUGUAUGGGAUUUUACAGGUACACAGACAGUAUAGCAGGCUUGCUACGGGUCCUGGCGACCUUAAGUCAACCUGGAUCCUAGCGCCGGUAGCGGCCCGAUUCCCGGGUCGUUACACCUCCUGUCAUCGAGAUGGCUGAGUCUGAGCCUGCGGAUGAAGUUCUCCCUCAGGCGAAGUCGUUG
RNAcentral lists this long non-coding RNA (6120 nucleotides) under Manihot esculenta (cassava). RNAcentral describes it as "long non-coding RNA (MESC_LNC008201)". Lineage: Eukaryota; Viridiplantae; Streptophyta; Magnoliopsida; Malpighiales; Euphorbiaceae. The record is from RNAcentral.